Molecule: long non-coding RNA, 545 nt
Filed under: Brassica napus (rape)
Lineage: Eukaryota; Viridiplantae; Streptophyta; Magnoliopsida; Brassicales; Brassicaceae
Description: long non-coding RNA (BNAP_LNC024861)
Source: RNAcentral
UUUUCACCGGCGGGAAGCUUGGGUGGAGAUGCCCUUUUCGGGGGCUUUCUCUUUUCCAUCGGUAUGGGUCCGGGCGCAGCAGCGAACGAUGUCGGCCGACACCGCGAAUGACGACGGUAAAUGAUGGAAAACGCGGUCACCUUGAAAAUUAGGGAUUUGCUAUAGUGUUUUAGAGAGAGAGAUGAAAGUUUCUAUCAUUAAUCUUUUUUAAACCAAUAGUCUAUUGAAACCGUACUAACCAAACGUUACUGGAGGCGCCACCACGGUGAAGGGAAAUGCGACCGACGACGGAGCCACCACCUAGAUCUUCAACGGGAGACAUGCCAACGAGAGAAACACGAAGACACCACAAAGCAAAGCAAUAUGAGAGGGAGUACACCUGAAAGAGCCCUGUGGCAGUGGUUAGAGAGAGAGAGAGCAGAUCGGUCCUAGGACCUUUUUCUGAAGCAACCUUUGCCCACUCUCCGUUCAAGCACCCUGCCGUCUUCCAAAUGGGGUGUUACUAGACAGAGCCGGUGGGUCUAACAAACUCCACCGUAUAGAAC